This 103-nucleotide microRNA precursor is filed under the name Marmota monax (woodchuck). The record is from RNAcentral. Lineage: Eukaryota; Metazoa; Chordata; Mammalia; Rodentia; Sciuridae.
AGAGGGAUAGCUGGGUCAAAUGGUUGUUCCACUCCCAAUUUUCCAAGAAAUCUCCAUACUGUUUUCUAUAUUGGCUGCACCAAUUUGCAGUCCCACCAGCAGU